CACUCAUGGUUGUCUUCAUGUUGUAUAAAUCUUUCGCCUUUUACUAAAGAUUUCCGUGGGGAGGAACAACAUGAGUCUAGAGUAAUUUUUUGAUUCCCUGUUAACAGGUCU
Small nuclear RNA from Phyllopteryx taeniolatus (common seadragon), 111 nucleotides. RefSeq annotates it as U5 spliceosomal RNA. NCBI's taxonomy places the organism in Eukaryota, Metazoa, Chordata, Actinopteri, Syngnathiformes, Syngnathidae. The record is from RefSeq and is a predicted model, not a curated record. The transcript has a single exon.